GCGCGAAAACUUUACAAUGCUGGCAACAGCGAUAAGGGAACCUCGAGUGCCAGGUUACAAAUCUGGCUGUCGAGAUGCCUAAAAAGCAUUUCAUAGCAAGGGCCGGGCAAGACCGGUGCCAGCCGCCGCGGUAACACCGGCGGCUCGAGUGGUAACCGUUAUUAUUGGGUCUAAAGGGUCUGUAGCCGGCCGGAUAAGUCUCUUGGGAAAUCUGGCAGCUCAACUGUCAGGCUAUCAGGAGAUACUGUCUGGCUCGAGGCCGGGAGAGGUGAGAGGUACUUCAGGGGUAGGGGCGAAAUCUUGUAAUCCUUGAAGGACCACCAGUGGCGAAGGCGUCUUACCAGAACGGACCUGACGGCAAGGGACGAAAGCUAGGGGCACGAACCG
Molecule: ribosomal RNA, 387 nt
Filed under: uncultured bacterium
Lineage: Bacteria
Description: bacterial SSU rRNA
Rfam family: Archaeal small subunit ribosomal RNA
Source: RNAcentral